RNAcentral lists this ribosomal RNA (37 nucleotides) under uncultured Xerocomus. RNAcentral describes it as "partial 28S ribosomal RNA". Lineage: Eukaryota; Fungi; Basidiomycota; Agaricomycetes; Boletales; Boletaceae. The record is from RNAcentral.
GACCUCAAAUCAGGUAGGACUACCCGUGAACUUGAAA